This 77-nucleotide transfer RNA is filed under the name Verrucomicrobia bacterium GWF2_62_7. RNAcentral describes it as "tRNA-Arg". It matches the Rfam family "tRNA". Rfam says of the family: Transfer RNA (tRNA) molecules are approximately 80 nucleotides in length. Their secondary structure includes four short double-helical elements and three loops (D, anti-codon, and T loops). The record is from RNAcentral. Lineage: Bacteria; Pseudomonadati; Verrucomicrobiota. RNAcentral also lists the same sequence under 2 other names.
GCGCCUGUAGCUCAGUGGAUUAGAGCAGGAGUUUCCUAAACUCUUGGUCGGGAGUUCGACUCUCCCCAGGCGCGCCA